RNAcentral lists this long non-coding RNA (767 nucleotides) under Mytilus galloprovincialis (Mediterranean mussel). Lineage: Eukaryota; Metazoa; Mollusca; Bivalvia; Mytilida; Mytilidae. The record is from RNAcentral.
GGACGUGUUGAGAAUUGGAGAUCGUGAUUCAUAUUUAAAGAUGUCAUAGAGAAACCCAGAGAGAAUGUAAUUGUUUUAAACAAAUGUAUAUAGGAGUGAUUCCAGAGCAAUCGCGUAUACAUGUUAUUUAAACUGUGAGGAUGAUAAGCCUGAAAUUAAGGUGAAAUUGAAGAUUUACCCCCAUUUACCUGAUGGAGGCAAAACGCAUUCGGAAAAAAUACUAGAUCAAACUUGCUUGGAUGCAUUAUUUUUUAGUUAUACUACAACGUAGAUCUAUGAACAUACUGAUAUGCCCGGACUGGGAAUAAGACACCAGGGUUUGGGUAUCCCUCCUUUUUCUGUUGUAUCUAAUAUAUAUUUUUGUUCUAAAAAAAUCUUAUCGAAAACACAAUCCUACUUUUGAGGACAGGUUACACGUGCCUGCCCUUCUCAAAUUUCAUAUGAAUUAAAAUCCCGAACAAUUUAAAUGAAGAAUCGUGCAUAAUCAUAUAAGGACCUUACUUUAACCAAACUUCACUGAAACUAUAAAUUCAGGAUCUUUUGAAAUCAUAGAUGAAGCCAAUAAUGAUUGGCCCGACUAUUUACCUUACAGGAAAUUCAAUACCCAAGCUCCUUUAGAAUAUUAGAAUAAGAAAAAAUCUGAAUCAAAUGUAUAGUUUAUUUUUUUUCAUAAAACGAGGUUAGACAACAUAUUUUAAAACAACCCGUGCUUCAUUCAAAACCUUUAAAACACGAUGUUAUAUCUUCAUCAUUAUAUAUUUGGCCGG